CAACUUUUGACGGGUGG
RNAcentral lists this ribosomal RNA (17 nucleotides) under Stylophora pistillata. RNAcentral describes it as "partial 5.8S ribosomal RNA". Lineage: Eukaryota; Metazoa; Cnidaria; Anthozoa; Scleractinia; Pocilloporidae. The record is from RNAcentral.